RNAcentral lists this ribosomal RNA (96 nucleotides) under Nicotiana sylvestris (wood tobacco). Lineage: Eukaryota; Viridiplantae; Streptophyta; Magnoliopsida; Solanales; Solanaceae. The record is from RNAcentral.
GGAUGCGAUCAUACCAGCACUAACGCACNUAAGCGUGCAUGGGCGAGAGUAGUACGAGGAUGGGUGACCCCAUGGGAAGUCCUCGUGUUGCAUCCC